This 5907-nucleotide long non-coding RNA is filed under the name Sus scrofa (pig). Its description in RNAcentral is "lncRNA (ENSSSCG00000060833.1)". The record is from RNAcentral. Lineage: Eukaryota; Metazoa; Chordata; Mammalia; Artiodactyla; Suidae.
UUUUUUUUUCUUCUUCUUUUUAACACUGAGAAGGAAAACAACACAUGCAGGAAACCAUAAAACCCUUCAAGUUAACUGUAGCCAACGGUCAAUCUCAUUAGGAUGUCAUGGGUAGGUUGUAGCCCUCUCUAUAAAGGCUGAAUACGCUCCUCUGAAUGACUUCCAAUUAUCUCACUUCUAGAUAAAAAAGCAGUUCCACUCACCACGCAUAUACUGUUUCUAUUCUCUUCUGCCUCUGUUACUGCUUCCAAAACUCAGUCCCUGAGUUCAUCUUCUAUUACAGCACACCUUUGUUGAACUGGAAUAUAGAUACAUGUGCACAGCUAGUCACAGACACUUACCCUUUCCACCAGGGAGGCUGAGGGCAUCCCCAGGGGCUGGACGGGAGGUCAGAGGACAGCUAAUCCGCCCCUCCCCGCCUUCACCGCCUGGGCCUGGGUUCAGUCUACCUCUAGGACCCAAGUAGAGGAGACAUCUAUGCAUGGAGACUGGGUCUAGGGCUCAAGAGAAGGGGCUCCAGGGCCACCUCCCUCACUUCUGACCUCGUGACCUCUCUGAGCUACUCUCAAUUCCAUUUCUCCAUAGAACAAAAGGCAAUAAUAAGCUCCUGUUUCAUAUUUAUUUGGAGAAAAUGCCAAACUGUGGUGGCAGGGAUUCUCAAGUGAGCCUCGUACAAGGGGGCUUAUUAGGGCCUCAUUACCAGGGUCUGAUAAUCUUUAAAGUCUGCCCUGAACAAGACUCUAGGGGUUAUUCUGCAGUGUGAGGGUUCAUGUACCAGACUGGGAGACACUGAUUCCAGGGAUUUAUUCUUAAGAACCUGGUAUCUUCCAUACUGCUUGCACUGUGCUAGGCCUGGACGCAUGCUAUCUCUUCAGAAGCACCAUGAGGAAGGAGGUAGUGUUUAAUGAGCCCAUGUAGGAGGACAGGCAUGAUGCCAGGAAUGGAACACGUGUUAUUCCACAGAUUCUCUCGAUAGCUUGAUAUGUCGCAUCGCAUUCUAUUUAACAGUUUAGAACACUGAGGCUUAAAAAGGCUAAGAAAGGUGACCAAUGUCCUUCACAGCUGGUUGGUCUAAGAGGCAGCACCGUACCCCGGGCUUUCCAAAAACCCAAGAUUCUGCCUUCCCACAGCUGCUGUAACAGAGCCUCAUGUGCAGAGGCAUUUUGGAAGCUCUUAAAGCAGCACCGAAACAAUGUGACGUCAACAAAUAACCAUCAAACAUUCAUUAUAGGCAAACAACAUUACAGGCAGAUUUGGGGAAGCUAAGUAUUUCAGGACCAGUUCCUGUCCUCCAAGAAUUCCAGUGCAAUGGGAGAGACCGGUUUGGCUGCAUUAGAGCUUGGGAGAACUGGAAAGGUGGGCUAAGAUCCUUGUGUGCAGGGCCUUCAAUGGCAGCAGGAGAAUUCUGUGCUUUAUCCUGGGCAAGGGAGACUCUGGUAGGUUUUUAGCAGUCUGAACACCACACAGAUGCUUCCCCACCCACAUACUUUGGCUUUCAAAUGACAGCCAGAGCGGAGAUGAGGAAGUAUACUGGGAGAUAACUUUCCAGGCAAAUUGGAGGGGAAGGGUAAAGUUAGUAAAUAUGAGUUAGAGAGCUAUUAUACUAUAGACCUCAAAAGAGGAGGAAAAAAGGCAUACAACAAAAACCAUCAGAAAGGAGAAGCAUACCAACCUUCCACCCUGAGAAAUCCACAUGGGUAAGGUGGAUUUGGAUUCCUAUCAGAAUUCUUAGUGCUUUCUUGACAUAUGGAUCUGUCCAGAUGCUCCUUUAAAAUAUUUUCCAUUUACAAUGAAAGAUUCUGAACCCUAGCAUGAUCUAAGCCAUGUGUGGAUUGGAUCAUUCGUGGGUACCCCGAAAAAACACAGAAAAUACUUGGUAAAUGGGGAGGCCUUUUGCUUUCUCACUUUCUUCAGAAUCCCUUUAUGCCUCCAGCACCCCUGCCCCUUCAAAGUGCAAGAGCAGGAAAUCCAGGAGGUCUUUUUAGGCACUCAGCCUACAUGUAAGUAUAUCAGCUUACAUUUUUUUUCUUGGCACUUGUAGGUAUUCAACAAGGAAUUGACAAAAAUUGCUUCAGCAAGUGCUACUGAUUCACAUUUCUGAGGGAGCCGAGGGCCAGAGGAGUAUCUUUAAAGACAAAUGGCUUGUUAUUCUUAAAAUUUAUUCUUUUCUACUGAUCCAAAUUAUCUGAAAGAAAAAGUCAUAGGAAACUCUUUGGCUUCUCAGGUUUAUUAUGCCAUGUACCACCGAACACCUAAGUACCAGUUCUGGGUAACAACUGAGUCAGAGAAAAGUACAAAAACGUUUCCAACAUUUACUCUAUCACCUCCUAGGAAGGACAUAUACUUCAGUUAAGCUUUCAUUUUUAAAGCAAUGUUAUCAAAAUUCUUAAAUAGUUAAACCAUCUGCCCUUACAUGGAAAGUCAAGGAAGAAUAAAUUUAGUUCUAACAGGAGAAGACUACAAAAAAAAAAAAAAAAAAAACUUUAAAAAUUACGUCAAAAAAAUUAAAAUAAAAAUUGCAUUAUUUAGUCUUCAUUCAUGUCAAGGUUUUGCUACUCUGGAUCUAAAAAAACUAAAUAAUCAUAUUAUCACUAGGAACAAAAAUUAAAUUUAAGCACUUUACAGAAGAGCUCUUCCUCUUCCUCUUUUUAAAAAGAUCUUUAAAGAGACAGAAGAUGCCAUGUUGGUUUUCUUUUUUAAAGUCUUUUUAAAAAAAGAUAUUACAAUUGCAGAACACAAAUGCAAUUCAAACUAAAUAUAUUAAUGAAUAUAUGAAAGAAAAAUUUGGAGACUGGUAGCUAAAAUGACCUUUAAAAAAUGAAAUUAUAUUGAAAUAUAACAGUUAUAUUAUUUUGGAGGGAGGGGAAUUACAGCUUUUCACUGAAAAAAAAAAAAAAUUGCUUGUGUUGGAACUACAGGCUCCAAAACUCUUUGUCCAGCUGUACAUUUCAGGAUGGAGGAGACUGUCUUACCUACAAGCAAUCCUGAUGAUUAAAGGGUUAUUUCCACAUAUGUCCGCUUAUUAACCCCUUCUUUCCAGUGCUGAAAAACUAGAAGACAUAGAAAGCACAAACAUUUGGAAGUGAAGGUGGGUUCUGUUAGUUAAUGGCAAUUGUUAACCCUAAAGUAAACAACAAAUUGUGCUCUCUGGCAAGUUGCAGGGCCCAAAUCAAAUACUAAUGGGCCUUAGGACAUCCAAAGGACUUUUUUCUCCUUGCAUACAGGUCUCAACAACACUGUACCUGAUAUUAGAAAAAGUAUAGCUCAGUGCCUUCUAUGCCCAGAUGGGGGGAGGGGGGAACCUUUCCUCUUAGGCCCUAAGGAGCCAACCUCUCCAGGUCACUCUUAGCGUUCCUUGUCACUUACAUGAAUAACCGUGUUAGUCACGGCACAAAAUGGAGAUUUUUGGCACCACAUGAACCUUUCUGCUUUUGAGUAAAACAUUUACACAGUUUUUAUAUUUCAUAACUGGUAACGCCUCUCUCCUCCAGAAUACAUUGAUAAUUUAACAGGCUUGUUUGUUCUUAAUCCGUGGGAAACAUUUCUAGCCACUGCUGGAUGGUAUCUCUGGAAAAAUCAAGGCGAAAGCAGCUUGGGGAUCAUAAAGUUAAAGAUCAGCAAGCCGGUGUCUUCAGUAAAGAAUUCUGUCUGUCCAUGUUGCCCCUCCCCCUCUCUUUAAAAUUUCAAGACAAAGGGCAUUGAUUUAAAUGGAGUAAACUCAGAAAAUUCCUAGAAAGCAUGUAGAGUUGACACAUACUCAGCUGACGCCAUCACUUCAGGGUCAGAACCUGCCAAAUCUGGCUGAGAGGAACUCCGAUUCCUCAAUAAGAUGGCAAUUAACGGGCCUGAGAACGCACUUGCUUCAUAGCUAAGGCAUAUGGUAUAGUUUCUACACACGCACACCAUUGGGCCCUCCCAAUCUUAGGCUCUGGGCAUAAUAAUGACAAAAGUCAAGAUUUAGGGUUCAGUUCCAGCUGAUUUUAUUUCCUUCUCAAAAAAAGUUAUUUACAGAAGGUAUAUAUCAACAAUCUGACAGGCAGUGAACUUGACAUGAUUAGCUGGCAUGAUUUUUUUUUCUUUUUCCUUUUCCCCUAAACAUUGUUUUUUGUGGCCUUGGAUUUUAAGACAAAUAUUCUACACGGCAUAUUGCACAGGAUGGAUGGCAAAAAAAAAAGUUUAAAAACAAAAACCCUUAACGGAACUGCCUUAAAAGGCAGACGUCCUAGUGCCUGUCAUGUUAUAUUAAACAUACAUACACACAAUCUUUUUGCUUAUUAUAAUACAGACUUAAAUGUACAAAGAUGUUUUCCACUUUUUUCAAUCUUUAAACACAACAGCUAUAAACCUGAACACAUAUGCUAUCAUCAUGCCAUAAGACUAAAACAAUUAUAUUUAGCGACAAGUAGAAAGGAUUAAAUAGUCAAAUACGAGAAUGAAAAACGCAGUACAUAGUGUCGCGAACUCAAAUCGGCAUUUAGAUAGAUCCAGUGGUUUAAACGGCACGUUUUUGCUUAUAAAAAAAGUGCAAAAAAGAUGUGGUUUACAAGUUAAAGCUACAGGAUCCCUUUUUUGCUGUAAAUGCACCAGUUUUAAAGCCUCUGGAUAAAACAGUAUUUUGUUUAAAAAAAUUUGUUUUUCUUAAAAGCAUACAGUGUUUGGCUAAUUCUCCCCCCACCAUCUAUAAGACUGGGGUCGAAGGAUGGAUACUGGUGGCAGGUUAAGGGAUACUGUCACUUUAAGAAGCCUGCAGAUUGAAGUGUAAACAUGGAGAAAUUAGGGGCUGAUUUUUUAAAACUGUGUGAGAUAUUAACCAGCCGCCCUAUUAUAAAAUCAGGAAAUCCAAACAGCGAUUUACACCGAUUAACACCCCCUUUAUAUAUUUUUUACAAAAAUACACUGAGAAAAUAAUCAAACGUUUUCAUCUCUCUUGUCUUUUUUUGUUUUUUUAAAAGUGUCAAAAGUCUACAUUUAAAUAUAAAAAAUUAAAAGUUAAAACUCUAGCCCUUCAGUGAAGGAGACGUAAAAUGGCGUGGGUAAGAACAACUACCAAAAAAAAAGAAAGAAAGAAAGAAAACAAAGAAAAAGAAAAAAAGAAAGGAAGGACGAAAUAAGGAAGUAAAAGAAAGAAAAGAAAGCAAAAGAAAGGAAAAAGGGACAAAAUAAAAAAUGUUUGGCCAGUAUAAAUACGUCCACAUAUAAAAUGGCAUCUGAUUACAUUUACAAGGAAAAAAAAUACGAGGAUGGAGCAUCGGUGAGGGAAAAAAACACGUCUUCUCAUUUACACCUAUAAGGAAUAAACACAUACACACUGAGAAAAAAUUUGGUCCUGAAUUGUUUUUUAAAGUCCAGCACAGAUUUGAGUUGCGUUUGAAUCCUUUAAAGAGUUAAGAAUGAAAAAAAGCUGGUGAUAAUUUCUGUUGUAGGAAUCAAACAUAGCGCCAUCUAUCUGCUUUUUAUAUUAUCCUACACUAUUUUAAAAACUGCUCAACAGUCUUAUACAGAAAUCUUUAAAAGAUAGACAGGAUAACAUGCUAUAUUAACCCCACCAGUGAAAUAAUCCAACACCAUCACGAUUCCGAUUAAGAGAAGAAAAAAACCUUUUUUUUUCCCCCGAAACCACUCGCCCUCCACUGCCCCGGUACCACAUCAAACAGUCUCCUCUCCUCCGCGCCUGCGGGCCUGUGAAGUCUCACCUCACUGAUUUCAGAGAUGCAGCAGGCGGAGGCCCAGGAGACGCCGCCACCUUGUCCCGAACGUGCAAAUCCAUUUCAGUUUUAGUAUUCGCCCCCUUCCAGUUCGUGUCCUUCUCCUUCCCGCCCCUCGCCCUCGCUGGUGUGGCAUUCCAACUAGGUUCUCGGGUCCCUUCCAAGCGCUGGUCACUCAACAUCUCCUCCUUCGGCUGCAGAG